RNAcentral lists this ribosomal RNA (454 nucleotides) under uncultured Porphyromonadaceae bacterium. RNAcentral describes it as "partial 16S ribosomal RNA". It matches the Rfam family "Bacterial small subunit ribosomal RNA", at positions 341 to 792 of the family's 1533-position model. The record is from RNAcentral. Lineage: Bacteria; Pseudomonadati; Bacteroidota; Bacteroidia; Bacteroidales; Porphyromonadaceae.
ACGGGAGGCAGCAGUGAGGAAUAUUGGUCAAUGGUCGGAAGACUGAACCAGCCAAGUCGCGUGCAGGAAGACGGUCCUAUGGAUUGUAAACUGCUUUUGUACGGGGAUAAAGUGAGGGACGUGUCCCUUUUGGGAUGUACCGUAAGAAUAAGGGUCGGCUAACUCCGUGCCAGCAGCCGCGGUAAUACGGAGGACCCGAGCGUUAUCCGGAUUUAUUGGGUUUAAAGGGUGCGCGGGCGGAGGAUUAAGUCAGCGGUGAAAUUUUCAUGCUCAACAUGAAAACUGCCAUAGAUACUGGUCCCCUUGAGAGAUGUCGAGGAUGGCGGAAUGUGAUGUGUAGCGGUGAAAUGCUUAGAUAUGUCACAGAACACCGAUUGCGAAGGCAGCUGUCCAGAGAUCUUCUGACGCUCAGGCACGAAAGCAUGGGUAUCAAACAGGAUUAGAUACCCUGGUA